GAGCUAAUACCGGAUACGUUCUUUUCUCGCAUGAGAGAAGAUGGAAAGACGGUUUCCGCUGUCACUUAUAGAUGGGCCCGCGGCGCAUUAACUAGUUGGUGAGGUAAUGGCUCACCAAGGCGACGAUGCGUAGCCGACCUGAGAGGGUGAUCGGCCACACUGGGACUGAAACACGGCCCAAACUCCUACGGGAGGCAGCAGUAGGGAAUCUUCCGCAAUGGACGAAAGUCUGACGGAACAACGCCGCGUGAACGAAGAAGGCCUUCGGGUCGUAAAGUUCUGUUGUUAGGGAAGAACAAGUACCAGAAUAACUGCUGGUACCUUGACGGUACCUAACCAGAAAGCCACGGCUAACUACGUGCCAGCAGCCGCGGUAAUACGUAAGUGGCAAGCGUUGUCCGGAAUUAUUGG
RNAcentral lists this ribosomal RNA (411 nucleotides) under Bacillaceae bacterium 16B-1. RNAcentral describes it as "bacterial SSU rRNA". It matches the Rfam family "Bacterial small subunit ribosomal RNA", at positions 160 to 557 of the family's 1533-position model. The record is from RNAcentral. Lineage: Bacteria; Bacillati; Bacillota; Bacilli; Caryophanales; Bacillaceae.